RNAcentral lists this ribosomal RNA (1486 nucleotides) under metagenome. Its description in RNAcentral is "bacterial SSU rRNA". It matches the Rfam family "Bacterial small subunit ribosomal RNA". The record is from RNAcentral.
AGAGUUUGAUCCUGGCUCAGGAUGAACGCAAGCUACAGGCUUAACACAUGCAAGUCGAGGGGCAGCAUGGUCUUAGCUUGCUAAGGCCGACGGCGACCGGCGCACGGGUGAGUAACACGUAUCCAACCUGCCGUCUACUCUUGGACAGCCUUCUGAAAGGAAGAUUAAUACAAGAUGGCAUCAUGAGUCCGCAUGUUCACAUGAUUAAAGGUAUUCCGGUAGACGAUGGGGAUGCGUUCCAUUAGAUAGUAGGCGGGGUAACGGCCCACCUAGUCUUCGAUGGAUAGGGGUUCUGAGAGGAAGGUCCCCCACAUUGGAACUGAGACACGGUCCAAACUCCUACGGGAGGCAGCAGUGAGGAAUAUUGGUCAAUGGGCGAGAGCCUGAACCAGCCAAGUAGCGUGAAGGAUGACUGCCCUAUGGGUUGUAAACUUCUUUUAUAAAGGAAUAAAGUCGGGUAUGCAUACCCGUUUGCAUGUACUUUAUGAAUAAGGAUCGGCUAACUCCGUGCCAGCAGCCGCGGUAAUACGGAGGAUCCGAGCGUUAUCCGGAUUUAUUGGGUUUAAAGGGAGCGUAGAUGGAUGUUUAAGUCAGUUGUGAAAGUUUGCGGCUCAACCGUAAAAUUGCAGUUGAUACUGGAUAUCUUGAGUGCAGUUGAGGCAGGCGGAAUUUGUGGUGUAGCGGUGAAAUGCUUAGAUAUCACGAAGAACUCCGAUUGCGAAGGCAGCCUGCUAAGCUGCAACUGACAUUGAGGCUCGAAAGUGUGGGUAUCAAACAGGAUUAGAUACCCUGGUAGUCCACACGGUAAACGAUGAAUACUCGCUGUUUGCGAUAUACAGCAAGCGGCCAAGCGAAAGCGUUAAGUAUUCCACCUGGGGAGUACGCCGGCAACGGUGAAACUCAAAGGAAUUGACGGGGGCCCGCACAAGCGGAGGAACAUGUGGUUUAAUUCGAUGAUACGCGAGGAACCUUACCCGGGCUUAAAUUGCAGAUGAAUUACGGUGAAAGCCGUAAGCCGCAAGGCAUCUGUGAAGGUGCUGCAUGGUUGUCGUCAGCUCGUGCCGUGAGGUGUCGGCUUAAGUGCCAUAACGAGCGCAACCCUUGUUGUCAGUUACUAACAGGUCAUGCUGAGGACUCUGACAAGACUGCCAUCGUAAGAUGUGAGGAAGGUGGGGAUGACGUCAAAUCAGCACGGCCCUUACGUCCGGGGCUACACACGUGUUACAAUGGGGGGUACAGAGGGCCGCUACCACGCGAGUGGAUGCCAAUCCCAAAAACCUCUCUCAGUUCGGACUGGAGUCUGCAACCCGACUCCACGAAGCUGGAUUCGCUAGUAAUCGCGCAUCAGCCACGGCGCGGUGAAUACGUUCCCGGGCCUUGUACACACCGCCCGUCAAGCCAUGGGAGCCGGGGGUACCUGAAGUGCGUAACCGCGAGGAGCGCCCUAGGGUAAAACUGGUGACUGGGGCUAAGUCGUAACAAGGUA